This 761-nucleotide ribosomal RNA is filed under the name uncultured bacterium. RNAcentral describes it as "bacterial SSU rRNA". It matches the Rfam family "Bacterial small subunit ribosomal RNA", at positions 66 to 825 of the family's 1533-position model. The record is from RNAcentral.
ACGGAACUUCUUUGACAGAAUUCUUCGGAAGGAAGUUGAUUAAGUUUAGUGGCGGACGGGUGAGUAACGCGUGAGUAACCUGCCUUUGAGAGGGGAAUAACUUCCCGAAAGGGAUGCUAAUACCGCAUGACGCAUAUUUAUCGCAUGGUAGAUAUGCCAAAGAUUUAUCGCUCAAAGAUGGACCCGCGUCCGAUUAGCCAGUUGGCGGGGUAACGGCCCACCAAAGCGACGAUUGGUAGCCGGACUGAGAGGUUGAACGGCCACAUUGGGACUGAGACACGGCCCAGACUCCUACGGGAGGCAGCAGUGGGGGAUAUUGCGCAAUGGGGGAAACCCUGACGCAGCAACGCCGCGUGAAGGAUGAAGGUUUUCGGAUUGUAAACUUCUUUUACUUAGGACGAAUUAUGACGGUACUAAAUGAAUAAGCUCCGGCUAACUACGUGCCAGCAGCCGCGGUAAUACGUAGGGAGCAAGCGUUAUCCGGAUUUACUGGGUGUAAAGGGUGCGUAGGCGGCUUGGUAAGUCAGAUGUGAAAUGUAUGGGCUCAACCCAUGCACUGCAUUUGAAACUAUUGAGCUUGAGUGAAGUAGAGGUAGGCGGAAUUCCCUGUGUAGCGGUGAAAUGCGUAGAGAUAGGGAGGAACACCAGUGGCGAAGGCGGCCUACUGGGCUUUAACUGACGCUGAGGCACGAAAGCGUGGGUAGCAAACAGGAUUAGAUACCCUGGUAGUCCACGCUGUAAACGAUGAUUACUAGGUGUGG